CAAAAAGUAACAGGUUGCCAGUUGCCACUUGAUGGAAUCAACGGUGAAGAGGGCGAGGGUUUGUAGAGUCACUGUAAAAGUGGAACUGUAGAGCGGAAGCAAAUCCAAUAUCUUAUCUCAUCAUCGUCAUCAUCAUAUACCCUUUAUUCAGAAUCAUUCAAAGAAAAGUAACAACAGUGUUGAGAAAAAUAAAGAGAAAGGAAGAGAUUAAGCAGACAUGGAUGGGUUACAGGUAGCUCUUCCGAUUGUGGGAGUUCUUGCGGCGGCAGCUGUGACUUUCUAUGCAGUGAGCUUUUCUGAGCUUAAAGAGAAAUCGUUUAGAGAUUUGGAAGAAUCUGAAUAUGAAGAUGGAGUUUAUAGGCCAUCCCCUAGCUCCCGAGAGAGGCGUGCCAGAAGACAAGCUAACAAAAAUAAUAAAAAAUGAACCUUAUUAUUAAGCUUGUGUUUAGAUAGAGUUUAGUGUUUUUAAUCAGAAACAAAACUGGAUUUUCAACAUAAAACAAUCUCAAAGGUUAUUGUAUCGAAACAAAGUUUAAAUCGACUCUGCUUUUCCCGAGUUCAUAGUGUGGUGGAAUUGGUUUUGUUUUUAGGGAUUUUCUUUUUCGAAUGAUAUGUAGUUGUCUAUUUAGUUUGGUUGCAUUUCCUUUUCUUUCGUGUUUUGUUGAUUAAUUUGUAUUUAUUUUUGCUGCCGUAAUAAACUCUUGGUUCUGCUCAGCGCGAAAAGCAAUGAUAUUAUCUGGUGGUAAGUGAUGUAAUUUUUUUAUAUUGCAGACUUUGUACUUGUUAAUGAUACGCAGAGUGCAGAAUAAUA
This 811-nucleotide small RNA is filed under the name Vigna angularis var. angularis. Its description in RNAcentral is "Non-protein coding transcript". Lineage: Eukaryota; Viridiplantae; Streptophyta; Magnoliopsida; Fabales; Fabaceae. The record is from RNAcentral.